This 212-nucleotide ribosomal RNA is filed under the name uncultured bacterium. RNAcentral describes it as "partial 16S ribosomal RNA". It matches the Rfam family "Bacterial small subunit ribosomal RNA", at positions 1289 to 1500 of the family's 1533-position model. The record is from RNAcentral.
CAGUUCGGACUGCAGGCUGCAACCCGCCUGCACGAAGUUGGAAUUGCUAGUAAUCGCGGAUCAGCAUGCCGCGGUGAAUACGUUCCCGGGCUUUGUACACACCGCCCGUCACACCAUGGGAGCCGGAAACGCCCGAAGCCAGCGGCCCAACCGCAAGGGGGGAGCUGUCGAAGGCGGGGCCGGUGACCGGGGUGAAGUCGUAACAAGGUAUC